Octopus sinensis (East Asian common octopus) is the source of this 128-nucleotide long non-coding RNA. RefSeq lists it as uncharacterized. Lineage: Eukaryota; Metazoa; Mollusca; Cephalopoda; Octopoda; Octopodidae. The transcript has 2 exons. The record is from RefSeq and is a predicted model, not a curated record.
AUAAAUAUGUAUGUAUAUAUAUAUAUAUAUAAAUAUAUGAGUGGUAAAACAAAGCACCAAUAUUUACUGGAAAAUAGCAAUCGAUACAAAUACGACGCUAUUGUACAGUUUUACUGCGUAUAUACUGG